Molecule: ribosomal RNA, 253 nt
Filed under: uncultured bacterium
Lineage: Bacteria
Description: partial 16S ribosomal RNA
Rfam family: Bacterial small subunit ribosomal RNA
Source: RNAcentral
UACAGAGGUCUCAAGCGUUGUUCGGAUUCAUUGGGCGUAAAGGGUGCGUAGGCGGCGCGGUAAGUCGGGUGUGAAAUCUCGGAGCUUAACUCCGAAACUGCAUUCGAUACUGCCGUGCUUGAGGACUGGAGAGGAGACUGGAAUUUACGGUGUAGCGGUGAAAUGCGUAGAUAUCGUAAGGAAGACCAGUGGCGAAGGCGGAUCUCUGGACCAUAACUGACGCUGAUGCACGAAAGCUGGGGGAGCAAACAGG